CAGUCGCCGCGGUAAUGCGAAGGGGGCUAGCGUUGUUCGGAUUUACUGGGCGUAAAGCGCACGUAGGCGGAUCGAUCAGUCAGGGGUGAAAUCUCAGAGCUCAACUCUGGAACUGCCUUUGAUACUGUCGAUCUGGAGUAUGGAAGAGGUGAGUGGAAUUCCGAGUGUAGAGGUGAAAUUCGUAGAUAUUCGGAGGAACACCAGUGGCGAAGGCGGCUCACUGGUCCAUUACUGACGCUGAGGUGCGAAAGCGUGGGGAGCAAACAGGAUUAGAUACCCCCGUAGUCCCUGUCUCUUAUAC
Molecule: ribosomal RNA, 301 nt
Filed under: uncultured bacterium
Lineage: Bacteria
Description: partial 16S ribosomal RNA
Rfam family: Bacterial small subunit ribosomal RNA
Source: RNAcentral